RNAcentral lists this ribosomal RNA (484 nucleotides) under uncultured bacterium. RNAcentral's name for it is "partial 16S ribosomal RNA". It matches the Rfam family "Bacterial small subunit ribosomal RNA", at positions 30 to 507 of the family's 1533-position model. The record is from RNAcentral.
AUUGAACGCUGGCGGCAGGCCUAACACAUGCAAGUCGAGCGGAUGAGGGGAGCUUGCUCCUGGAUUCAGCGGCGGACGGGUGAGUAAUGCCUAGGAAUCUGCCUGGUAGUGGGGGAUAACGUCCGGAAACGGGCGCUAAUACCGCAUACGUCCUGAGGGAGAAAGUGGGGGAUCUUCGGACCUCACGCUAUCAGAUGUGCCUAGGUCGGAUUAGCUAGUUGGUGGGGUAAAGGCCUACCAAGGCGACGAUCCGUAACUGGUCUGAGAGGAUGAUCAGUCACACUGGAAGUGAGACACGGUCCAGACUCCUACGGGAGGCAGCAGUGGGGAAUAUUGGACAAUGGGCGAAAGCCUGAUCCAGCCAUGCCGCGUGUGUGAAGAAGGUCUUCGGAUUGUAAAGCACUUUAAGUUGGGAGGAAGGGCAGUAAGUUAAUACCUUGCUGUUUUGACGUUACCAACAGAAUAAGCACCGGCUAACUUCGUG